UGGGGAAUAUUGCACAAUGGGCGCAAGCCUGAUGCAGCAACGCCGCGUGAGGGAUGACGGCCUUCGGGUUGUAAACCUCUUUUAGUAGGGAAGAAGCGAAAGUGACGGUACCUGCAGAAAAAGCACCGGCUAACUACGUGCCAGCAGCCGCGGUAAUACGUAGGGUGCGAGCGUUGUCCGGAAUUAUUGGGCGUAAAGAGCUCGUAGGCGGUCUGUCGCGUCUGCUGUGAAAACCCGAGGCUCAACCUCGGGCCUGCAGUGGGUACGGGCAGACUAGAGUGCGGUAGGGGAGAAUGGAAUUCCUGGUGUAGCGGUGGAAUGCGCAGAUAUCAGGAGGAACACCGAUGGCGAAGGCAGUUCUCUGGGCCGUAACUGACGCUGAGGAGCGAAAGCGUGGGGAGCGAACAGGAUUAGAUACCCUGGUAGUCCACGCCGUAAACGUUGGGCGCUAGAUGUGGGGACCAUUCCACGGUUUCCGUGUCGCAGCUAACGCAUUAAGCGCCCCGCCUGGGGAGUACGGCCGCAAGGCUAAAACUUAAAGGAAUUGACGGGGUCAUAGCUGUUUCCU
This 568-nucleotide ribosomal RNA is filed under the name uncultured bacterium. Its description in RNAcentral is "partial 16S ribosomal RNA". It matches the Rfam family "Bacterial small subunit ribosomal RNA", at positions 355 to 1375 of the family's 1533-position model. The record is from RNAcentral.